GGGCCCGUCGUCUAGUGGUAGGACGCCGCCUUGGCAUGGCGGAGGCGCGGGUUCGAUUCCCGCCGGGUCCA
Molecule: transfer RNA, 71 nt
Filed under: Candidatus Geothermarchaeota archaeon
Lineage: Archaea; Thermoproteati; Candidatus Geothermarchaeota
Also listed under: 2 other names
Description: tRNA-Ala
Rfam family: tRNA
About the family: Transfer RNA (tRNA) molecules are approximately 80 nucleotides in length. Their secondary structure includes four short double-helical elements and three loops (D, anti-codon, and T loops). Further hydrogen bonds mediate the characteristic L-shaped molecular structure. tRNAs have two regions of fundamental functional importance: the anti-codon, which is responsible for specific mRNA codon recognition, and the 3' end, to which the tRNAs corresponding amino acid is attached (by aminoacyl-tRNA synthetases). tRNAs cope with the degeneracy of the genetic code in two manners: having more than one tRNA (with a specific anti-codon) for a particular amino acid; and 'wobble' base-pairing, i.e. permitting non-standard base-pairing at the 3rd anti-codon position.
Source: RNAcentral